This is a long non-coding RNA of Columba livia (rock pigeon), 4746 nucleotides long. RefSeq lists it as uncharacterized. The record is from RefSeq and is a predicted model, not a curated record. NCBI's taxonomy places the organism in Eukaryota, Metazoa, Chordata, Aves, Columbiformes, Columbidae. The transcript has 3 exons.
GGACAUUGUGUGAUAAAUAAGGAGGAGGAAAAAGAGUCAUGAGGAAGGAUGGAAAGCAGGAGUCUGGAUUUCAUGCUCUAGGAGCGUGACGCCCUUUGCCAGGUGUCGGCGAGGAGCGCGGCUGCCAAGGCACAGGGAACCGCAUCGACGCCUGCAGAUAAAUGACUACAUCCAUUGUGAGGCCUUGGUGCUGCAGAAUCACUCAGCGCUGGAAGAACUUUUCCCACCUGCGAUGUUCCGCUGAUUGCAGUUUGUCUUCAAGAACACCAUGAGCUUUACCAGCAUCCCAGGACUAAGCAGAAAGAAGCAUGAAAUAUCUUGGGUUAGCAGCAAGUGUGUCAUUUGCAGAGUAGUCAGGAAUAGAGCAAAUCUUAUGACAAAACUGAUUGGCGUUGGGAGCGUGCCCUGCUUUCCUGAGAGUCGAAAUUCCCUGAAAAUUAGGGAAAUGGCAAAGUUUCCGCUGACUUGUUGUAUUCCAGAUGGUUUGAUACUGUAUUUGAUACACUCUUUAAUGGACACUUGUGGACGAGCAGAAGCAGAAUUCAUUUCUUGUUUCUCCAAGCAGGACAUUUGGCUUCGUCUCCCCUUCCAGCUCCAGAUUUAGAAUGGGAUUCUAAAUAUAAGAGUCUAUAUCCAUAAAAAUGCAGAAAAGCUCCAAAUCCAAAUCAUUUUUGGCACUGAAAAAAAAGUCACGGUAGCUAUGAAAUACCACCUGCAGCUAUUCUAGAGGGGAUUUUACUGUGCUUGUUAUUAUAAGAGCUGGUUGAAUGUAUCUCACGUUUAUUUUUACAUUCCAUCAAAGUUUUGAAAUUCAAAAUGUUAAUAGUAAGUAUAACAUCUCCCCUCCACUCCCUGUAAGACUGAUCCUUUUUUUUUCCUUUCCCAUUUUAACAUUUUUAGCUUCAAAAUAUGGAAUGACUGAGUUGAAAUACAAUUGGGGAGGAAUUUCCCAAAACCGUUUACCACUUCCACCACCCCCACUGCUUUCCAAGGCUCUGGCCCAUGCCUUCCACACCAUUAAUCUGAGAACGGCAGCACCCCUUCUCCUUUGAAUAUCAAACUCUUACGUUGCAGAAGCUGCCUAUAGAGAUACACCAUAACCACCAUCUUAAAAGUACUGAAUCGAGCAGAAAAAAGGCCCUUUGAAGAGCAUCUUCCUCCCUUUGCUGUUCUGCAAGGCGGUGCAGAUAGGAAGAUGCUGCUUGCAGAAGGUGAACACUGUUGGUUCUGUAUGGUUUUACUUGAAAGACCUCGGUGUGCAGCUUUAAUUCCUCCCCAUCUGAAAAGACUUCUGCAAAGUCUCAGCUAGGCAAGCAAACUCCUCUGACUCUGCCGGCAGCUCCUGCUCGCUGGUUGUUUUCUGAUCAGAAAGCUCAGCUCAGGUAAACCAGCCUGCUCCUGUUUUGAAGUUAACAGAGCUACACAAUUUUAUAUGGCCCGAAGCAUGCAAAGAGCGCUGUGACUUCCAAAGGCAGGUGUUUCUCUCCCUCUCUUUGUGUUUGUUCUUAAAAUUUUAUUCACUAGGUACAGCUCACGGGAAAAACACUGCUUGGUUUCGAAGGGAGGCAGUGACACCUUAUCUACAAUUGUGCAAACAGCUGUUGGGUUCGUUUCCUGCAGUCGUUUUAUGUAUCAGUAAAAUGCAGUCAGCUGCACAGUAUGAAUGAAGCGUUACACUUCGCUUUGAUUGUGUUUUCACCAGUUCUGCAAGGCUUGACCUGGAAAUGAAUACCAUCCAUCCCGUGGGGAUGAGCAACUCAAGGUUUGUGUGCUGUGUGUUAACGCUUCUUGUGUCUUGAAUACUGUGUUCAGUUUUGGGCCCCUCAUGCCGAGAAAGUCCUUGAGGUGCUGGAGCGAGUUGAGAGACGGGAACAGAGCUGGUGAGGGGCUGGAGCACAAGUGCGAUGGGAGCGGCUGAGGGACCUGGGGGUUCAGCUGGAGAACAGGAGCUGAGGGGAGACCUUCUGAUCUCUGAACUGCCUGAAAGGAGCUUGGAGCCAGGGGGGGUCGGGCUCUGCUCCCCAGGAACAAGCGCCAGGAGCAGAGGCAACGGCCUCAAGUUGCACCAGGGGAGGCUGAGGUUGGAUCUGGGGAACAAUUUCUUCCCCAAAGGGCUGUGGGGCAUUGGAACAGGCUGUCCAGGGCAGUGCUGGAGUCACCAUCCCUGGAGGGGUUGGACAGAUGGAGAUGUGGUUCUCAGGGACAUGGGGUAGAGGUGGACUUGGCAGUGUUGGGUGAAUGGUUGGACUUGAUGAUCUUAAGGGUCUUUUCCAAGUAAAGUGAUUCUAUGUUUCUGUGAUAAGCAAGAAGAGCAGCAGAGCAUGGGCUGGACUUGUGAGGAAGGUACCAAGUGUCCAUCAUCAAUGGUCACUCUCAGCAGCAAUGUCACCCACCACCCCAUUUUUGAAGGCCACAGCUGCCAUGUCUCGGCCUGUCUUUCUUGCACAGACCUUUCUGCUGCAUUGACUGCUCUUAGCAAGUCUUCUCGUCAAAACAGAUCAGUGUCACAGGGGGUAGAGGGUUUUUCUUUGCUCUAAAGAGCAUUUUCAUUGAAGGACACCUAAUACGUUAGGAGAAAGAGAGGUGACACAAUUCACUCCACUUGUCACUUUACAUCUGGUCGGUGGUGCCAGGAAUGAAACUGAGCAGUCCAGGGGAACAGGAUUAAUUUGUUAAUGAAUGACAAGGAAAAGUCCUGCAAAGGGGUGCUGGGGGAGGCAGCGUGCAGAAGGGGUUGUUAAGGGAAGAGCUGCUCCAUCAAUGCAUGAGAUAAAUGUAGAGAUAGAUGGACACUUUCCAGAGUCAAAUGCUAAAGUAUAUCUCAGAGACACAAGGUGCUUCCUGAAGAAUCACCGUGAUGUAUUCAGGGUUGGAUUUUCAAAGUCAGCUAAAGGUAAUUUCUUUGGGGUUUUAAUACAAUAUAUUGGUUUGCUUGGGAAAGAAAAAAAAAAGAAGAAACCAAUCCAUUUUAAACAACCAAGAGAAGACAAACAGCUGUAAUUUUAAAGCAUUGAGAGCAAUGUAUCCAUUUUGAAGAGGAGAGUGAUUUUUCAGAGCUCAAAGCGAUGAAGCACCCAACCCCUAUCAUAGUUCAGGGGAAUGUCAGCACCUGUUUCCCUUUAACUAAAAUUGAAACACGAUGAAUUUCAUGUCAAGCCAGGCCUCUGUACAGAAGAGCGUGUUAAAAGGUUUCCAGAGGAUGUUUAGAGGCAUAACACGGGGCUAUAAUAUGAAAUACAUGGCAAUUUAACAUACAACUAUAAUUGUAUUAUACAGCCGUUAUCGACAGUGCGACUGACACAAUGUCCAAUUACGAAGGGGGAAAUGACAUCUCUCGCAGCUUAACAGCUACACCGUUAAGUAUGGUCAGUCUGUGAGUUAUUAAAAUGGCAGAAAUUAAUGUUAAAAUAAUAGAUUGGCAUUUCCUUAAGAUGUGAUAAUAUUCCCGUAAAUCUCCUUUAGAUAAGAGGAACGUAACCGAGACAUUAAAGGACUGUCGGUAUAUGUGCAGCGAGGGUGACUCUCAAUGAAUAAUAAAUGGCUCUAGGUGACUUGUUGUUAUGGCGCUGAUAUUGCACGAUAUUAACUUUUAAGGCAUGCCUUCAGAACUCAGAAACUUUAUGGACUCCUGUGUUUUAUGAUCUCGUAACCUCAUCCUGGAGGCGGUGGCUUCUUUGUUCCAUCUCGUGAUUACCAGGUAGCCGCUGGCACCGUGUCCAGCCGCUGCACCCUCCGCUCCCCAUCCGCCUCCCCAAUCGAUGGUGGUUUUACUGGGCUGGAAUCAAACCACUUUAGACCAUAUUUCCUCAGACAUAAAAAGUUACAUAGGGCUUUACCGUCCCUAAGUGAUGUAUGCACAUUAGCUAAUUAAUUAAUCUUGCUGAGUAGCAUAUUAAUUUCUUUUAAUUUCCUACCUGACUUGAAAGGUAGCAUUUCCCUGAAACGUGGUGCUAUAGGAAAGGAUUUAAAGAUUUAGACUUUCCAAGUCUGCUCUGAGUGCAUGCAUGAGCACACAGACAGACAGACACACAGUCUUGCCUUCACAAGAGAGAUGUGGGCCCUUUCUUUCAACAAACAUUCACUCUGGUCCAAAAGGACCUUUUAAUGUAAGUAAGUGACCUAGGAACUCACCUCCUAGUUUCAAAGAUGCUUAAAGCCACAUGCAAAAGAGGGCUGAGGUGCCUCGGAGUUUCAACACCUAAAUCCAACGUGGUAUCCCGGCCCCUCUGCCUCGUCCCUGCUACUGGCUCCUUCUUCACAGAGUCACAGAAUCCCAGCAUGUCAGGGGUUGGAAGGGACCUGGAAAGCUCAUCCAGUGCAAUCCCCCCAUGGAGCAGGAACACCCAGAUGAGGUUACACAGGAAGGUGUCCAGGCGGGUUGGAAUGUCUGCACAGAAGGAGACUCCACAACCCCCUGGGCAGCCUGGGCCAGGCUCUGCCACCCUCACCAGGAAGAAGUUUCUUCUCAAAUUUAAGUGGAACCUCUUGUGUUCCUGUUUGAACCCAUUGCCCCUUGUCCUAUCACUGGUUGUCACCGAGAAGAGCCUGGCUCCAUCCUCCUGACACCCUUUAUAUAUCUGUAAACAUUAAUGAGGUCACCCCUCAGUCUCCUCUUGUCCAGCUCCAGAGCCCCAGCUCCCUCAGCCUUUCCUCACACGGGAGAUGCUCCACUCCCUUCAGCAUCUUGGUGGCUGCGCUGGACUCUCUCCAGCAGUUCCCUGUCCUGCUGGAACUGAGGGGCCACAA